Non-coding RNA from Biomphalaria glabrata, 57 nucleotides. The record is from Rfam. NCBI's taxonomy places the organism in Eukaryota, Metazoa, Mollusca, Gastropoda, Planorbidae.
UGGCUUUGCGGUAAAGCGCUUGGCUUCUGAACCAGGAGUCCCGGGUUCAAAUCCCGG